This 513-nucleotide ribosomal RNA is filed under the name uncultured bacterium. Its description in RNAcentral is "partial 16S ribosomal RNA". It matches the Rfam family "Bacterial small subunit ribosomal RNA", at positions 28 to 523 of the family's 1533-position model. The record is from RNAcentral.
GAUGAACGCUGGCGGCGUGCCUAAUACAUGCAAGUCGAGCGAACAGACGAGGAGCUUGCUCCUCUGACGUUAGCGGCGGACGGGUGAGUAACACGUGGAUAACCUACCUAUAAGACUGGGAUAACUUCGGGAAACCGGAGCUAAUACCGGAUAAUAUAUUGAACCGCAUGGUUCAAUAGUGAAAGACGGUUUUGCUGUCACUUAUAGAUGGAUCAGCGCCGCAUUAGCUAGUUGGUAAGGUAACGGCUUACCAAGGCAACGAUGCGUAGCCGACCUGAGAGGGUGAUCGGCCACACUGGAACUGAGACGCGGUCCAGACUCCUACGGGAGGCAGCAGUAGGGAAUCUUCCGCAAUGGGCGAAAGCCUGACGGAGCAACGCCGCGUGAGUGAUGAAGGUCUUCGGAUCGUAAAACUCUGUUAUUAGGGAAGAACAAAUGUGUAAGUAACUAUGCACGUCUUGACGGUACCUAAUCAGAAAGCCACGGCUAACUACGUGCCAGCCGCCGCAGUAA